UACGUAGGGGGCAAGCGUUGUCCGGAAUUAUUGGGCGUAAAGGGCGCGUAGGCGGAUAAUUAAGUCCGGUGUGAAAGAUCAGGGCUCAACCCUGAGAGUGCAUCGGAAACUGGUUAUCUUGAGGACAGGAGAGGAAAGUGGAAUUCCACGUGUAGCGGUGAAAUGCGUAGAUAUGUGGAGGAACACCAGUGGCGAAGGCGACUUUCUGGACUGUAACUGACGCUGAGGCGCGAAAGCGUGGGGAGCAAACAGG
This 253-nucleotide ribosomal RNA is filed under the name uncultured bacterium. RNAcentral describes it as "partial 16S ribosomal RNA". It matches the Rfam family "Bacterial small subunit ribosomal RNA", at positions 524 to 776 of the family's 1533-position model. The record is from RNAcentral.